AACUAUAACGGUCCUAAGGUAGCGAAAUUCCUUGUCAGGUAAGUUCUGACCCGCACGAAAGGUGUAACGAUUUGGGCGCUGUCUCGGCAGCAGACUCGGUGAAAUCUUAGUACCUGUGAAAAUGCAGGUUACCCGCAACUAGACGGAAAGACCCCAUGGAGCUUUACUGCAGCCUGAUAUUGAAUUCUGGUCAUACAUGUACAGGAUAGGUGGGAGACAAAGAGACGUGCACGCCAGUGUACGAGGAGUCGACGUUGGGAUACCACUCUUGUGUGACCGGGGUUCUAACCUGGUAUCGAGAACAGGUACGGGGAGAGUGUCAGGUGGGCAGUUUGACUGGGGCGGUCGCCUCCCAAAGAGUAACGGAGGCGCCCAAAGGUACGCUCAGAUUGGAUGGAAACCAAUCGUCGAGUGCAAUUGCAGAAGCGUGCUUGACUGUGAGACAGACAAGUCGAACAGGGACGAAAGUCGGGAAUAGUGAUCCGGCGGUGCCGAAUGGAAGGGCCGUCGCUCAACGGAUAAAAGCUACCCUGGGGAUAACAGGCUGAUCUCGCCCAAGAGUUCACAUCGACGGCGAGGUUUGGCACCUCGAUGUCGGCUCAUCGCAUCCUGGAGCUGGAUUCGGUUCCAAGGGUUGGGCUGUCCGCCCAUUAAAGCGGUACGCGAGCUGGGUUCAGAACGUCGUGAGACAGUUCGGUCCCUAUCUGUUGUGGGCGAAGGAGAUCUGCGGAGAGCUGUCCUCAGUACGAGAGGACCGGGAUGGACCUACCGCUGGUGCACCGGUUGUUCCGCCAGGGGCAUAGCCGGGUAGCUAAGUAGGGAAAGGAUAAGCGCUGAAAGCAUCUAAGCACGAAGCCUACUCCAAGAUGAGAUCUCCCAUUCGCAAGAAGUAAGACCCCUUAAAGACGAUAAGGUAGAUAGGCCAGGGAUGGAAGUGCAGUGAUGUACGGAGUUGACUGGUACUAAUCGGUCGAGGACUUAAUCAG
Molecule: ribosomal RNA, 986 nt
Filed under: human gut metagenome
Description: bacterial LSU rRNA
Rfam family: Bacterial large subunit ribosomal RNA
Source: RNAcentral